This is an RNA transcript of Homo sapiens (human), 1049 nucleotides long. It is a transcript of the gene named H1.9 linker histone, pseudogene, with no coding region annotated. Lineage: Eukaryota; Metazoa; Chordata; Mammalia; Primates; Hominidae. The record is from RefSeq and is marked reviewed. The transcript has a single exon.
AUCCGCCCAGGCAUGUGCACACACACAUGCAUAUGUGCACGCACCGUGCAGGCCCGCUGUCUGGCCCACAAGCGCAGCCCUCCUCCCCAGGACACCUGGCAUGUUACAUGCCUCCACCAUCUGGCAUCUCCGGUCCACCCCUCCCCGGAGGAAACAAUGGGGCCACUGUGACCCACACAGAAUUCUGGUAGCCUCUGAGGUCACCACAGAGAUAACCUCACCAACCCCUGCACCAAGAGCACAAGUCUGUGGAGGCCAGCCGUGGGUGACCGUCCUUGAUCCUCUUUCUGGCCACACAGGUAAAGGUGAGGGCCGGAGCUCAAGAGGAAGCCUCAGCGAGGACCAGGAACCGGGACACACCUCAGCCAUCCUGUGAGGGGCAGCCCAGUGGAGACUUCCAGCCGCCCUGGAGGUCCUUGCACCCAAGACACUUCACCUACCCCAGGGAGAGAAGCAGAAAGGCACUUCGCCACUGUCUCCAUCAGUGCUGUUGAACUCAAAUACUGCCAUGGGUGGAGGCCAGCAGGGCAGCGUGUCCCUAGCAAGACAGCGACUGGGCAACGCACCUGUGCCAAACCCUGCCAGAAGCCCAGCACGUCCAAGGUGAUCCUGAGGGCUGUGGCGGACAAGGGGACCUGCAAGUAUGUGUCCCUGGCCACCCUGAAGAAGGCUGUUUCCACCACGGGCUACGACAUGGCCCGAAAUGCCUAUCACUUCAAGCGUGUGCUCAAGGGGCUGGUGGACAAGGGCUCAGCAGGUGACCGGCAGGGGGGCCUCAGGCUCCUUCACCCUGGGCAAGAAGCAGGCCUCCAAGUCCAAGCUCAAGGUCAAGAGGCAACGACAGCAGAGGUGGCGCUCUGGGCAGCGCCCCUUUGGACAGCACAGGUCACUACUGGGCUCCAAACAGGGGCACAAGCGGCUUAUCAAGGGGGUUCGAAGGGUGGCCAAGUGCCACUGCAAUUAAUGAGGCAGGCCAGGCAAGCAGUCAGGGGUGCCAAGACCGCCAUUGGCUCAGUGCAGUGGGAAUAAAAGGAACAUAACUUAUUUCA